Molecule: unclassified non-coding RNA, 361 nt
Filed under: uncultured bacterium
Lineage: Bacteria
Description: contains 16S-23S intergenic spacer region
Source: RNAcentral
UCCUCAAAAAGAGGCAGUCUCGUCUGACACAUGUAACAGACGACAAGGGUUGCGUUCGUUACCCCACUUAAGGGAACAAUUCAAACCACGAACUGACGACGGCCAUGCAUCACCUGUCCAACUGCCCGAAGGCGUCAAAAGUUUCCUAAUGACUUCAGCUGGAUUUCUAGCCCUGGUGAGGUUUUUCGUUUACCGACGAAUUAAGCCACAUGAUCCACCGCUUGUGCGAGUCCCCGUCUAUUCCUUUGAGUUUUAAUCUUGCGAUCGUACUACCCAGGCGCCUAACUUAACGCGUUUGCUUCGCCUCUCAGAGGGUCGAUACUCCGAAAAGCCAGUUAGGAUCGUUUAGGGCGUGGACUAC